CUUCUUCCUGGGAUGCGGCACUUGCCUGUGAAGCCACAGGAGGCUGGAGGGGUAGAGGCUGGGGGCAGGAAGAGGAGGAACGGUUGAUUGCGAGGAGCAGCGGAAGGAAGGAUGUAUCAAACCGAAAGAAGAAAGAACCCCUGCCAGUCGCCCCCAUGACAUCCGACUCUGAACGGCAGCGAUCUAGAGGCUGUGGCGUGUUGCAGAUUAACAGCAGCGAGGGCAGGAGGCAAAUCAGAUGCCGCAGGAGCUGACUGUUUUCUUUAGCCCUGAGAGCUGACUGUAGGCACAGGUUGCAUAUCAAAGGCAACGGGAAUCAGUCUGUGGCAAUAUUACAUCAGGGGACAGCCACUAACCCCAGUAGCUGCAUGCUUUCUGCCACCUUCAUCUACCUGAGCAAAACUUCAAGGACAUGUUUAUGCUGAAUCUCCAGAGAGAGCAAUAGAAGCCCAGCUUGAGGGAAAUGACUGGACCUUGAUUACUUAGGAUAAAAAGAGAUCAAUUUAUGCCAUUCAACAAACAUAUAUCCAGCAUGUGCCUUGAGUAGGACAAGGCUGAACACUCUUUUUUUAGGGGUCCUGCUGUUGGCAGAGAAAGCUCCCAAGAGUUCUGCAGAGAAGAAGGAUAUAGACUCCAAAAUUUUACUUCCAGGGACCAUUUCAGUAGAGCCUUUUAAGACACAUGUUUUGGAAUACAGUCAAAUGCGUGCUGCUGUAUGACCAGCCUAUUUGAACUACUUAAGCAUCAACUAAUUAAUCUGCAAGUGAAGAAUACUUCCAGCAUUACUCUAUAAUUAGACAAUCUCAGGAGGAAACAAGAGGAUUUCAAAGGGGAGUCAGAUGGUUUCGCAGACCGCUACAUCAUUUAUUUUUUCAUCACUCAGAUUAUGCCUCCAAAUCCUACAGAAGUAUAACAACCAUAGAACAGACAAACACCAACAGCAUCAACAACAGAGAAACUCAGUCCAGGAGGAUAUGAAACCCUUUGUAAUAAAGAAAGCAACAUCCAUGAA
This is a long non-coding RNA of Homo sapiens (human), 1012 nucleotides long. Ensembl annotates it as regulator of chondrogenesis RNA. Its record names the gene ROCR. The record is from Ensembl. Lineage: Eukaryota; Metazoa; Chordata; Mammalia; Primates; Hominidae.